UGGGGAAUUUUGGACAAUGGGGGAAACCCUGAUCCAGCCAUCCCGCGUGUGCGAUGAAGGCCUUCGGGUUGUAAAGCACUUUUGGCAGGAAAGAAACGUCAUGGGUUAAUACCCCGUGAAACUGACGGUACCUGCAGAAUAAGCACCGGCUAACUACGUGCCAGCAGCCGCGGUAAUACGUAGGGUGCAAGCGUUAAUCGGAAUUAGUGGGCGUAAAGCGUGCGCAGGCGGUUCGGAAAGAAAGAUGUGAAAUCCCAGAGCUCAACUUUGGAACUGCAUUUUUAACUACCGGGCUAGAGUGUGUCAGAGGGAGGUGGAAUUCCGCGUGUAGCAGUGAAAUGCGUAGAUAUGCGGAGGAACACCGAUGGCGAAGGCAGCCUCCUGGGAUAAAACUGACGCUCAUGCACGAAAGCGUGGGGAGCAAACAGG
This 429-nucleotide ribosomal RNA is filed under the name Acidobacteriota bacterium. RNAcentral's name for it is "Acidobacteria bacterium partial 16S ribosomal RNA". It matches the Rfam family "Bacterial small subunit ribosomal RNA", at positions 355 to 776 of the family's 1533-position model. The record is from RNAcentral. Lineage: Bacteria; Pseudomonadati; Acidobacteriota.